UGGGGAAUAUUGCACAAUGGAGGGAACUCUGAUGCAGCGACGCCGCGUGAGUGAUGAAGGAAUUCGUUUCGUAAAACUCUGUUCUAUGGGAAGAAAAGGACUGUACCAUAGGAGAAAGCUCCGGCUAAAUACGUGCCAGCAGCCGCGGUAAUACGUAUGGAGCGAGCGUUGUCCGGAAUUAUUGGGCGUAAAGGGUGCGCAGGCGGCUUUACUAGUUGGAUGUGAAAUAUUGUGGCUCAACCACAAACGUGCAUCCAAAACUGCAAAGCUUGAGUUAAGGAGAGGUAAGUGGAAUUCCUGGUGUAGCGGUGGAAUGCGUAGAUAUCAGGAGGAAUACCGGUGGCGAAGGCGACUUACUGGACUUAAACUGACGCUCAGGCACGAAAGCGUGGGGAGCAAACAGG
This 404-nucleotide ribosomal RNA is filed under the name Fusobacteriota bacterium. Its description in RNAcentral is "Fusobacteria bacterium partial 16S ribosomal RNA". It matches the Rfam family "Bacterial small subunit ribosomal RNA", at positions 355 to 776 of the family's 1533-position model. Lineage: Bacteria; Fusobacteriati; Fusobacteriota. The record is from RNAcentral.